AACGAACGCUGGCGGCAUGCCUAACACAUGCAAGUCGAACGAAGGCUUCGGCCUUAGUGGCGCACGGGUGCGUAACGCGUGGGAAUCUGCCCCUCGGUUCGGAAUAACAGUUAGAAAUGACUGCUAAUACCGGAUGAUGACUUAGGUCAAAAGAUUUAUCGCCGAGGGAUGAGCCCGCGUAAGAUUAGGUAGUUGGUGGGGUAAAGGCCUACGAAGCCGACGAUCUUUAGCUGGUCUGAGAGGAUGAUCAGCCACACUGGGACUGAGACACGGCCCAGACUCCUACGGGAGGCAGCAGUGGGGAAUAUUGGACAAUGGGCGAAAGCCUGAUCCAGCAAUGCCGCGUGAGUGAUGAAGGCCUUAGGGUUGUAAAGCUCUUUUACCAGGGAUGAUAAUGACAGUACCUGGAGAAUAAGCUCCGGCUAACUCCGUGCCAGCAGCCGCCGUAA
RNAcentral lists this ribosomal RNA (449 nucleotides) under uncultured bacterium. RNAcentral describes it as "partial 16S ribosomal RNA". It matches the Rfam family "Bacterial small subunit ribosomal RNA", at positions 29 to 523 of the family's 1533-position model. The record is from RNAcentral.